AGGAAAAACAAAGAUGAAAAAUGACAGUGUAUUGAAAGAGCCGCAGAUUUUUACAGAGUGAUUACUAGCUCUACAACUUGUUUAUCCAGUUCUGAAACAAAGGUUUCUUUAAGAAACAUCACAGAAUGUUCCGGAGAGUGUGUUAUAAAAGAGAAUUCGAGGGAGGAUAAUUACAUACGUAUACACAUCAAGUACGACACUGAUAUUAUUUUGAAGCUAGAAAGCAAGAAAAAUUACGAUUGCGGAUACAGUUCUAAAAACAUGUAUGUCGAAUGCACCAUAAAUCAAAAGACACAAGGAUCAUUAGAAACAUGCAUAAUUGAUCAGUGCAUCAACAGAAGAACCAAUGAGUCGAAACAAGGAAAUGG
Molecule: long non-coding RNA, 368 nt
Organism: Saccostrea echinata
Lineage: Eukaryota; Metazoa; Mollusca; Bivalvia; Ostreida; Ostreidae
Exons: 4
Source: RefSeq, a predicted model, not a curated record